Molecule: long non-coding RNA, 1183 nt
Filed under: Medicago truncatula (barrel medic)
Lineage: Eukaryota; Viridiplantae; Streptophyta; Magnoliopsida; Fabales; Fabaceae
Description: long non-coding RNA (MTRU_LNC002091)
Source: RNAcentral
CAAGAGUUUCCAUGUUUUCUUUAAAGAAAAGUAUAUGGUAGAAGAAAGAAAAAAACUAAUCAACCAUUUCAAGAUAUAAAGUUGUACCUCUUAUCAAAACGACAUCAAUAAGUUAUGUGUCUGUUCAAGACAUCUAACAUGUCAUAAUUUUCUUAAGAUUAUCCUAACAAAUUAAGGAAUUUUCAACCCCACAAUUUAGGCAUAAGUAAACACACCAACCUUUUAAUCAUUAAGUUAGGGUGGAAACCGGAUUGCUUGAAAUCGAAAAUUUGAGUGUUGUUGGUACAUUUGUUAGAUUUUAUACGGUUUUUGAUUUUUUUUUUUUUUUAAAUACAUAAAUAAAGAGUUUGAAAUUUAGACCGUCCAAUCUUAUUCAACAACCACAAAUGUAGUGAUGACAUCAAUGCAUCAAGUUGUCGACCGAAGACAAUCCUAAUUAGUUAGAGUGAUUUUUACAACACAAAAAUAUAAUUUCCAUCAAAGGGAUUGAACUACAACAUGGUUAAUUAUUAUGAUAGUAUAUAGUUGAAUUUAAGAAAUGAAAUAUAAUAUGAAGGGAAUACUAUUACUCAUAUAACAAUUAGAUGCCAAAGAUACAAAGAAUAUGUGGGUAUACACUUUUCUUUGCAUUAUGAAAGCAAUCUAAAUGGCUCACUCUUGGACAAAAGUCUCAAAGAAAUUAUUCCAAAGAGAAUAUUUGCUUUAAUGGUGUAAUCAAUUAUAUCAAUAUCCAAGAUAAGAAGAGUUAAAAGAAAGAAAAUUUCACCAAAAAAUAAAAAAGAAAAGAAGAAAAAGGAAAAGGAAGAAUAUAAUGGCAAACACCAUAUCUUAAAAAGCCAAUUCGAUCAAGUCUUUCUUUCAGAUUUCUUGGGUUGCGGUCUAGAAAUGGAUCACAAGAAUCAAAAUUCAAUGAUUGGUCUUCAAAACACUGCCACUACAACACCGUGUAUUCCCAGCUACUCUGCCUCAACUGUUGAACAAAAUAGAAAUGAUUUCCAACUCUAAGAACAUCAUAUUACCACAUUUAGCAUAAGCAAGAAAGACAUUAAAAAGCUUAAAAUAAUGUCUACACAACAAAGAAUUGUAUUUUUAAUACAUGAGAUUGAUUAUAUAGAUGAAAUGAUGUUAUAGCAUUUAGAUAAGGACAUAGGUGAAAUAAUAUUAUGGUAUUAGAUGAUGACAU